GCCUGCUUAGCUCAGCGGUACACUGUAAAGUAUCAGUGUAAAGAGCAGCUGUUUUGUAAACAGCAGGUCGUCGGUUCAAAUCCGACAGCAGGCU
Molecule: transfer RNA, 94 nt
Filed under: Candidatus Roizmanbacteria bacterium CG_4_9_14_0_8_um_filter_34_12
Lineage: Bacteria; Candidatus Roizmaniibacteriota
Description: tRNA-Thr
Rfam family: tRNA
About the family: Transfer RNA (tRNA) molecules are approximately 80 nucleotides in length.
Source: RNAcentral